This 301-nucleotide ribosomal RNA is filed under the name uncultured bacterium. RNAcentral describes it as "partial 16S ribosomal RNA". It matches the Rfam family "Bacterial small subunit ribosomal RNA", at positions 509 to 809 of the family's 1533-position model. The record is from RNAcentral.
CAGCCGCCACGGUAAGACAGAGGAUGCAAGCGUUAUCCGGAAUGAUUGGGCGUAAAGCGCACGUAGGCGGACUGGAAAGUCAGAGGUGAAAUCCCGGGGCUCAACCUUGGAACUACCUUUGAAGCUAUCAGUCUGGAGUUCGAGAGAGGUGAGUGGAAUUCCGAGUGUAGAGGUGAAAUUCGUAGAUAUUCGGAGGAACACCAGUGGCGAAGGCGGCUCACUGGCUCGAUACUGACGCUGAGGUGCGAAAGCGUGGGGAGCAAACAGGAUUAGAUACCCGCGUAGUCCCUGUCUCUUAUCC